This 360-nucleotide ribosomal RNA is filed under the name Candidatus Rokuibacteriota bacterium. RNAcentral's name for it is "bacterial SSU rRNA". It matches the Rfam family "Bacterial small subunit ribosomal RNA", at positions 1 to 344 of the family's 1533-position model. The record is from RNAcentral. Lineage: Bacteria; Candidatus Rokuibacteriota.
UCUAUGGCGAGUUUGAUCCUGGCUCAGAGCGAACGCUGGCGGCGUACUUAACACAUGCAAGUCGAACGAGGAUCGUCGGGUUAGCAAUAAUUCGACGGUCCUAGUGGCGUACGGGUGAGUAACACGUGGGUAACCUGCCCUUGAGUCCGGGAUACCCUCUCGAAAGGGAGGCUAAUACUGGAUACGUUCCCUGGGGCGCAAGACCUGGGGAGGAAAGGUGGCGAAAGCUGCCGCUUUUGGAGGGGCUCGCGGCCUAUCAGCUAGUUGGUGAGGUAACGGCUCACCAAGGCUAUGACGGGUAGCUGGUCUGAGAGGACGACCAGCCACACGGGAACUGAGACACGGUCCCGACUCCUACGG